This 305-nucleotide ribosomal RNA is filed under the name uncultured bacterium. RNAcentral's name for it is "bacterial SSU rRNA". It matches the Rfam family "Bacterial small subunit ribosomal RNA", at positions 337 to 640 of the family's 1533-position model. The record is from RNAcentral.
CCCUACGGGGGGCAGCAGUGAGGAAUAUUGGUCAAUGGGCGCGAGCCUGAACCAGCCAAGUAGCGUGAAGGAUGACUGCCCUACGGGUUGUAAACUUCUUUUAUAAAGGAAUAAAGUGAGGCACGUGUGCCUUUUUGUAUGUACUUUAUGAAUAGGGAUCGGCUAACUCCGUGCCAGCAGCCGCGGUAAUACGGAGGAUCCGAGCGUUAUCCGGAUUUAUUGGGUUUAAAGGGUGCGUGGGCGGUCUGUUAGGUCAGCGGUAAAAUUGCGGGGCUCAACCCCGUCGAGCCGUUGACACUGGCAGA